UCUAAAGGAAUAGCUUCUCAUUUUAGCAGUCUAGUGUAAUAACAUCAAACUGCUACAGUAGUGUCUACCAGUGGGUCAGCUCUAGUAGACAUUUGGAUUGAUCUCAUUGAUCACAUUUGGUCUGUGGGUCUGAGUCUGACUCCUCUGCUGUAAGGGGUCCACUUUGACCUGCUUGGAUUCUGUUCUGACUCGGUUUAACUGCUCUGUCUGCAGAGUCUCAGAGCUGCUGGGUGUUAGUGGACUGACUGCAUCUCAUUAGAAUACAUCACACUUCCUCUUUGCUCAGGCAGAGGAAAUGACAACAAGCUGGACUGAAAUACAUAGAAACUAUAAUAAAAUAAAAAAGGUCUUCCCCAUCAUAAUCCUACAGCUAAAUGACUCCCUUUAGUUGAUCUGAGUGUUAUAAAGUGAAUGAAUUUAAUGUAGUGUAAACGUUUUUUUUUCUGGGUAAAGUUUGUGCAACUAGUUCUUCUUUUAGUGGUUUUCUGUCAGUUUCUAAGAAAUAGCAAACGACUGAAUAGUUGUGAAAUGUUGGUGUGAAGCUUUUUUCCCCAUCGAUUGAUUCAGCCACAAAGAGGAAAUAACAUCAGUACCUUUCUUCAGUUUGAAGGUAAAGAUCUGUUUUAGCUGAAAAAAAAAAUUAAAGGACACAUUGGUUUACUGAAAUAUUUUAUGGGGAUAUAAGAAUUAACAUCUACUUUGUGCAGAAGGUAAUCUCUGUAGCAUCUUUUUUCUAUCAAACUUCUAACCUGUCAGAGAUUAAAAAUGUAAUGAUUAAUCCUUACAAAAUGUAUUAGAUUGCUUUUUCAAAAGGUUGAAAAUUAAUGUCAUACUGAGAAAUAGAAUAAGUAAAAAAUAAUUAAUUGACUACACAUCUUUAAAUCAAGCUUGAUGAUCUUGUCUGUGAAGGAUGAAAUGUGUCAAACUUUAAUGUGUCUUUGUCUCUGCUGCAGGAACAAGAGGAGGAGAUCUUCAUCUCUAUCAUAGAUCUGGAGAUGAUGUCAUUCUACCUUGUAACAGUCCUGCAUCUUCUUACUAAUGCUCCAUUGUUAACUGGUUUUACUACAGAGAUCAAGGUGCUAGUUCUCCAUUUGAUGUUAAGCAUGGAAAUGUUCAGAGUUCACCUCGAGCUGCCAGGUUAAAUGUGGACAGUAACUGCUCUCUGAUCAUCAACAACAUCACUGCUGAAGAUGCUGGACAUUACACCUGUCGACCUGGUUCAGAUGGCAGCGAUGAUGGCAUUGUUGGUCUGAAAGUUCUGACCAUCUCUCCAUCUUCACCAGCUGCUGAUCCAACAAAGAAUGGGGAUGUCACAUUACUGUGUUCUCUGGAGAGACAGAGAUGGUUGGGUUCUUGGCCAGGGAAGAGUUUCAUCUGGUUGGAUGAGACAGGAACUAAACUGACUGGUGAAAAUGUUCAAUACCAGUUCAGAAAACCAAGCAGCUGUGUUUCCUCUCUAACUGUGCAGCAUCAGAGCGUCACCAACAGAAGAUACACCUGCCAGUUUGUUGAAGGAAACAGCAUAAAGGUAGAAGCUCACUACCCAGCUGGGUUUAAAGGUGCAAAGGGUGUGAAGAGGAUUGGGUGGCAGUCAGAGGUUUAGGCCUCUGGGACCCGAUCCACAGUAGCUUCAAUCGGCUCUGGGGAUGUGAAAUGUGACCUUACUGGAGGUAAUGACUGAGAUUUUGCAUGAGGUGGAGUGAUACAGGCUAGAAAUAUUUGGGCCCACAUACAGCCAGCGCUCUGGAACCCAGCUAAUCGAGAGUGAAUUAACUUUCUCUACUCUUAAGUGGCCCCUGGAAAGAGAAUGAGAGCUGGAAUGGGUCUGCUUGUCUCUCCCCAACUCAGUCAUGCUGUGUUGGAGUUAACCCUGGUGGAGAGGGUUGCAUCCCUUCACCUUGGGGUACUGUAAGCUGCGGGUUAAAGACUGAGUUAAUUCAUCUUUUUACUUGUCAUUGUAGAACUUAACUUACUACGGUUCCAUAUUAUCCCUUUUUUGCAGAGGAGAUUUAUUUUUAUUUCAAUAUUAACCUGUCAAAUAUGUGAAUUUAGGCUGAACUAAACUGUGUUUUACAUUUUUUUAUUGGUUU
Molecule: long non-coding RNA, 2090 nt
Organism: Cyprinodon variegatus (sheepshead minnow)
Lineage: Eukaryota; Metazoa; Chordata; Actinopteri; Cyprinodontiformes; Cyprinodontidae
Exons: 3
Source: RefSeq, a predicted model, not a curated record